Bombyx mori (domestic silkworm) is the source of this 84-nucleotide non-coding RNA. Lineage: Eukaryota; Metazoa; Arthropoda; Insecta; Lepidoptera; Bombycidae. The record is from Rfam.
UUAACUAAAAUUUAUAUGGAGUUGGAACGUUUGCCUACGUUUGCCGUUAGCGAUACUGUUCUAACUCCAUACAAAUUUGAGUUA